AGGACGAACGCUGGCGGCGUGCUUAACACAUGCAAGUCGAGCGGAAAGGCCCUUCGGGGUACUCGAGCGGCGAACGGGUGAGUAACACGUGAGCAACCUGCCCUUAGCUCUGGGAUAGCUCCGGGAAACCGGAAUUAAUACCGGAUAUGACCUAGGCCGACAUCGGCCGUGGUGGAAAGUUUUUCGGCUAGGGAUGGACUCGCGGCCUAUCAGCUAGUUGGUGGGGUAAUGGCCUACCAAGGCGACGACGGGUAGCCGGCCUGAGAGGGCGACCGGCCACACUGGGACUGAGACACGGCCCAGACUCCUACGGGAGGCAGCAGUGGGGAAUCUUGCGCAAUGGGCGAAAGCCUGACGCAGCGACGCCGCGUGGGGGAUGGAAGGCCUUCGGGUUGUAAACCCCUUUCAGCAGGGACGAAGCGAAAGUGACGGUACCUGCAGAAGAAGCGCCGGCUAACUACGUGCCAGCAGCCGC
RNAcentral lists this ribosomal RNA (475 nucleotides) under uncultured bacterium. RNAcentral describes it as "SSU rRNA". It matches the Rfam family "Bacterial small subunit ribosomal RNA", at positions 26 to 518 of the family's 1533-position model. The record is from RNAcentral.